CCUACGGGAGGCUGCAGUGAGGAAUAUUGGUCAAUGGGCGCAAGCCUGAACCAGCCAUGCCGCGUGCAGGAAGACGGCCUAUGGAUUGUAAACUGCUUUUAUUCGAGAAUAGGUACCGAAUGAAUAAGCACCGGCUAACUCCGUGCCAGCAGCCGCGGUAAUACGGAGGGUGCAAGCGUUAUCCGGAAUCAUUGGGUUUAAAGGGUCCGCAGGCGGACAUAUAAGUCAGUGGUGAAAUCCCAUCGCUUAACGAUGGAACUGCCAUUGAUACUGUAUGUCUUGAAUGUGGUCGAAGUGGGCGGAAUAUGUCAUGUAGCGGUGAAAUGCUUAGAUAUGACAUAGAACACCGAUAGCGAAGGCAGCUCACUAGGCAUAUUGACGCUCAUGGACGAAAGCGUGGGGAGCAAACAGGAUUAGAUACCCUUGUAGUC
Molecule: ribosomal RNA, 431 nt
Filed under: uncultured bacterium
Lineage: Bacteria
Description: partial 16S ribosomal RNA
Rfam family: Bacterial small subunit ribosomal RNA
Source: RNAcentral